Molecule: ribosomal RNA, 498 nt
Filed under: uncultured bacterium
Lineage: Bacteria
Description: partial 16S ribosomal RNA
Rfam family: Bacterial small subunit ribosomal RNA
Source: RNAcentral
AUUGAACGCUGGCGGCAUGCCUUACACAUGCAAGUCGAACGGUAACAGGUCUUCGGAUGCUGACGAGUGGCGAACGGGUGAGUAAUACAUCGGAACGUGCCUAGUAGUGGGGGAUAACUACUCGAAAGAGUGGCUAAUACCGCAUGAGAUCUACGGAUGAAAGCAGGGGAUCGCAAGACCUUGUGCUACUAGAGCGGCCGAUGGCAGAUUAGGUAGUUGGUGGGACAAAAGCUUACCAAGCCGACGAUCUGUAGCUGGUCUGAGAGGACGAUCAGCCACACUGGGACUGAGAAACGGCUCAGACUCCUACGGGAGGCAGCAGUGGGGAAUUUUGGACAAUGGGCGCAAGCCUGAUCCAGCAAUGCCGCGUGCAGGAUGAAGGCCUUCGGGUUGUAAACUGCUUUUGUACGGAACGAAAAGCCCCGGGUUAAUACCCUGGGGUCAUGACGGUACCGUAAGAAUAAGCACCGGCUAACUACGUGCCAGCAGCCGCCGUAA